This 253-nucleotide ribosomal RNA is filed under the name uncultured bacterium. RNAcentral's name for it is "partial 16S ribosomal RNA". It matches the Rfam family "Bacterial small subunit ribosomal RNA", at positions 524 to 776 of the family's 1533-position model. The record is from RNAcentral.
AACGUAGGACACAAGCGUUGUUCGGAUUUACUGGGCGUAAAGGGCCAGUAGGCGGCCAACUAAGUCGGAUGUGAAAUCCCCAGGCUCAACUUGGGAACUGCAUCCGAUACUGGAUGGCUUGAAUUCGGGAGAGGGAUGCAGAAUUCCAGGUGUAGCGGUGAAAUGCGUAGAUAUCUGGAGGAAUACCGGUGGCGAAGGCGGCAUCCUGGACCGACAUUGACGCUGAACGGCGAAAGCUAGGGGAGCAAACGGG